RNAcentral lists this ribosomal RNA (397 nucleotides) under uncultured bacterium. RNAcentral's name for it is "partial 16S ribosomal RNA". It matches the Rfam family "Bacterial small subunit ribosomal RNA", at positions 523 to 918 of the family's 1533-position model. The record is from RNAcentral.
AUACGUAGGGGGCGAGCGUUGUCCGGAAUGAUUGGGCGUAAAGGGCGCGUAGGCGGCCCGGUAAGUCUGGAGUGAAAGUCCUGUUUUUAAGAUGGAAAUUGCUUUGGAUACUGUCGGGCUUGAGUGCAGGAGAGGUAAGUGGAAUUCCCAGUGUAGCGGUGAAAUGCGUAGAGAUUGGGAGGAACACCAGUGGCGAAGGCGACUUACUGGACUGUAACUGACGCUGAGGCGCGAAAGUGUGGGGAGCAAACAGGAUUAGAUACCCUGGUAGUCCACACUGUAAACGAUGAAUGCUAGGUGUAGGGGGUAUCGACCCCUUCUGUGCCGCAGUCAACACAAUAAGCAUUCCGCCUGGGGAGUACGGCCGCAAGGCUGAAACUCAAAGGAAUUGGCGGGG